GGGCCCUUCCCGUUUGGGCCAAGAAGGAGACCGUGGCCCAGAGGGAGGAGCGGAGCCUGGACAACUUCUUUGCCAAGGACAAGAAAAAGGUUCUAAGCAGCCACGCCGCCAACAACACAGGUGGAGCGGCGAGGGCCAGGCCAGGCGAGGCGGGGCCGCAGGCGCAGGGAUUGCGGGCCCCAGGGCCGCCACGAAGGCCAUGACGAAGGAUGAAGAUGAGUGUUAAGAAUUUGAGCAAAAAGAGGUUAAUUACAGCGGACUCUGAGUGCAGGCCACGCAAAUUAGUGAAAGGGAAGAUGAUAAUGAAAAAAGAGAAGAUCCAGGAGAUAACUGGGAAGAAGGUGGAGGUGGUGGAGGUAUAGAGAAAUCUUCAGGUCCUUGGAACAAAACACCUCCGGUACAAGCACCUCCUGCUCCAGUAAUUGUUACAGAAAUCCCAGAACCAGCAAUGCCUAGUGGUGUAUCAUAGGCCAGGCUAACCACAAGGAAAACGCCUACAAGGACCACCAGAAAUACACAGUGAUAGUUUCCAUCCUUGCAGUCCACUGCCAAACAAGUAGAAAGCCGAAUAGGGAUAAAGAAAUGGAGAAGAGCUUUGAAAUAGAUAAGACACAAAAAUAGAGGUAGGGAUGAGGUUUCAAAAAAAACCAGGCCCUUAAACUUCAGCUAGACAGCCAGUAUGCUGUGCUUGAAAACCAGAAAUGCAGCCACACACAGUACAAUUAAGGAAUGGUCUUUGCCAACCCCUCUAAGGUAACUAGACCACAGCUAACCACCAUGAACAGCCAUUCAUCAUCUGAUCUCUGUUGGAUCUACAGCAACUGAUUCAGACCAUGCAAGUGACCAGCCUAUUACACCAGGGAAGUUUAAAGUGUCACAACUGCUCUUUAUGUAUAUUGGAUUUAAGGGAAUUUUAAUUCUUACGUGUGUGAACUAGAUUCAACACUUUUUUCAUAAUCACUCUGCAAAUACAAAAAAACCAAAACCUGCAGUCAGUGGUCAUUUGGAAAAUCUUUUUAUGUUCAGAUACUGAGCCUUUGUAAGGGUUGACUACCCCAGAUUUGCUGCACUCUUUGUGGACUUCAUAUGGAUCACAACUUCUGGAUAAGAGGAUUACAGCUAUUAAAAGUACCGAUGUGAACCUUGAAACCAGC
This 1154-nucleotide long non-coding RNA is filed under the name Heterocephalus glaber (naked mole-rat). RNAcentral describes it as "lncRNA (ENSHGLG00000041066.1)". The record is from RNAcentral. Lineage: Eukaryota; Metazoa; Chordata; Mammalia; Rodentia; Bathyergidae.